This 273-nucleotide ribosomal RNA is filed under the name uncultured Thauera sp. Its description in RNAcentral is "partial 16S ribosomal RNA". It matches the Rfam family "Bacterial small subunit ribosomal RNA", at positions 1109 to 1382 of the family's 1533-position model. The record is from RNAcentral. Lineage: Bacteria; Pseudomonadati; Pseudomonadota; Betaproteobacteria; Rhodocyclales; Zoogloeaceae.
CACUAGUUGCCAUCAUUUAGUUGGGCGACUCUAGUGAGACUGCCGGUGACAAACCGGAGGAAGGUGGGGAUGACGUCAAGUCCUCAUGGCCCUUAUGGGUAGGGCUUCACACGUCAUACAAUGGUCGGUACAGAGGGUUGCCAAGCCGCGAGGUGGAGCCAAUCCCUUAAAGCCGAUCGUAGUCCGGAUCGUAGUCUGCAACUCGACUACGUGAAGUCGGAAUCGCUAGUAAUCGCAGAUCAGCAUGCUGCGGUGAAUACGUUCCCGGGUCUU